AUUGAACGCUGGCGGAAUGCUUUACACAUGCAAGUCGAACGGCAGCACGGACUUCGGUCUGGUGGCGAGUGGCGAACGGGUGAGUAAUGUAUCGGAACGUGCCCAGUCGUGGGGGAUAACGUAGUGAAAAUUACGCUAAUACCGCAUACGAUCUAUGGAUGAAAGCGGGGGAUCGCAAGACCUCGCGCGAUUGGAGCGGCCGAUAUCAGAUUAGGUAGUUGGUGGGGUAAAGGCCCACCAAGCCAACGAUCUGUAGCUGGGCUGAGAGGACGACCAGCCACACUGGAACUGAGACACGGUCCAGACUCCUACGGGAGGCAGCAGUGGGGAAUAUUGGACAAUGGGCGAAAGCCUGAUCCAGCCAUACCGCGUGCAGGAUGAAGGCCCUCGGGUUGUAAACUGCUUUUGUACAGAAAGAAAAGGUUUCUACUAAUACUAGGAGCUCAUGACGGUACUGUAAGAAUAAGCACCGGCUAACUACGUGCCAGCCGCCGCAGUAA
This 500-nucleotide ribosomal RNA is filed under the name uncultured bacterium. RNAcentral's name for it is "partial 16S ribosomal RNA". It matches the Rfam family "Bacterial small subunit ribosomal RNA", at positions 30 to 523 of the family's 1533-position model. The record is from RNAcentral.